AAGACCUUCUUUGAAGGUAUGCUUAAGGAGGGGCUUGCGACACAUUAGUUAGUUGGCAGGGUAAAGGCCUACCAAGACUAUGAUGUGUAGCUGGACUGAGAGGUUGAACAGCCACAUUGGGACUGAGACACGGCCCAAACUCCUACGGGAGGCAGCAGUAGGGAAUUUUCGGCAAUGGAGGAAACUCUGACCGAGCAACGCCGCGUGAACGAUGAAGUACCUCGGUAUGUAAAGUUCUUUUAUUAAGGAAGAAAAAAGAGUGGAAAAACUCCCUUGACGGUACUUAAUGAAUAAGCCCCGGCUAAUUAUGUGCCAGCAGCCGCGGUAAUACAUAAGGGGCGAGCGUUAUCCGGAAUUAUUGGGCGUAAAGGGUGCGUAGGCGGUUUAAUAAGUCUAUAGUUUAAUUUCAGCGCUUAACGCUGUUGUGCUAUAGAAACUGUUUUACUAGAGUGAGUUAGAGGCAAGCGGAAUUCCAUGUGUAGCGGUAAAAUGCGUAAAUAUAUGGAGGAACACCAGAGGCGUAGGCGGCUUGCUGGGACUUUACUGACGCUGAGGCACGAAAGCGUGGGGAGCAAACAGGAUUAGAUACCCUGGUAGUCCACGCCGUAAACGAUGAGUACUAAGUGUCGGGUAAAACCGGUACUGAAGUUAACACAUUAAGUACUCCGCCUGAGUAGUACGUACGCAAGUAUGAAACUUAAAGGAAUUGACGGGACUCCGCACAAGCGGUGGAUCAUGUUGUUUAAUUCGAAGAUACACGAAAAACCUUACCAGGUCUUGACAUUUUCUUGCGAAGUUAUAGAAAUAUAAUGGAGGUUAUCAGGAAAACAGGUGGUGCAUGGUUGUCGUCAGCUCGUGUCGUGAGAUGUUAGGUUAAGUCCUAAAACGAGCGCAACCCUUGUCGUUAAUUGCCAGCAUGUAAUGAUGGGGACUUUAACGAGACUGCCAAUGAAAAAUUGGAGGAAGGUGGGGAUUACGUCAAAUCAUCAUGCCCCUUAUGAUCUGGGCUACAAACGUGAUACAAUGGUUGAUACAAAGAGUAGCUGAAACGCGAGUUCUUAGCCAAUCUCACAAAAUCAAUCUCAGUUCGGAUUGAAGUCUGCAACUCGACUUCAUGAAGUUGGAAUCGCUAGUAAUCGCGAAUCAGCAUGUCGCGGUGAAUACGUUCUCGGGGUUUGUACACACCGCCCGUCAAACCACGAAAGUCGGCAAUACCCCAAAGCGGUCACCUAACUUCGCAAGAAG
Molecule: ribosomal RNA, 1245 nt
Filed under: 'Beta vulgaris' X-disease phytoplasma
Lineage: Bacteria; Bacillati; Mycoplasmatota; Mollicutes; Acholeplasmatales; Acholeplasmataceae
Description: bacterial SSU rRNA
Rfam family: Bacterial small subunit ribosomal RNA
Source: RNAcentral